Long non-coding RNA from Nasonia vitripennis (jewel wasp), 2664 nucleotides. RefSeq lists it as uncharacterized. The record is from RefSeq and is a predicted model, not a curated record. The transcript has 3 exons. Lineage: Eukaryota; Metazoa; Arthropoda; Insecta; Hymenoptera; Pteromalidae.
UCUUUUUUUCUUUUUUUUUUCAAUUAGUGAGUAGUGAUAUUUUUCGCGAUCCUAAUGUUCAUCUCUUUAUGCAAGUGUUUUCGAAUUGCGACGUAAAAGUGUGGCUUUACGAGAGUGCGUUACGGCGAUCUGGAAAAAUAUUGUCUCUUUUGUCGCUAAUAUACGAGCGCCGAACACUUAAUAACAGACGCGAUUGCACUUCCUCUUCAAUUGAUUAGUUCCAGCGGCGUACGCACUGAUAAGGUAUGCGCGUAUGUGAAUAUAUCGACUUACUUUGCAAAUUGAUGUUUUGAUCUUCGGCCUGGUUUAUUUACAGACGCCAGAUGUACUUUUAACGAAAAUAUUUGUGAACCAUCGACGCGAUGAAAAGUAUAAAACUCAAUCUUACUUUUUCGGCAGCACCAGUUUUAUACUUGCGACAACCGUUGCAAUGCGUGCAAAAUUUUUCGCGCUUUUCAGUAUUAUCAUAAUUUUUCAAGGUAAUCAAUCAACUAUUUUUCACUUGCACUGCAAUUUUACUAUUAUCUCUUUAUCAAUCGAAUGAGCAUAGGAAGAGCAGCAGCUGAUAGGCUAGAAGAAUUAAUCGUCAAUGGAAAAGAAGCAAAGCUGGGCGAAUUUCCCUGUCAGGUAUAAUAUUUCAUAGGCGAGAUACUGUAUAAAUUGUUCCAAAAAUAAUAACAAUAGAUUCUAACAUUUCGAUAAUUUCAAGUACAAUUUUACGUCGAAAAUUCUGCACAUUAGUUCUGAUUUGUCACCUUGCGAUCGGUUCAAAUAGGUGGUUGGCGCUUUUGCGGCGGUUCCAUUCUCGACGAGUACCACGUGCUCACCGCAGCUCACUGUGUUCACCGGUAUACGACGACUCGAGCAGACAUUUAAGUAUAGUAGCUUUCUUCUCGCGGAAUUCAGUAAAAUAACUGACUUGUUUGUUUCAUCGCUACAGAAUAUCCGCGUGGAACUUCAACAUUGUCGCAGGUUGCGUGAACUUGGGUCAUCGUCAACUUCCACGUUCGGAUCGCAACGUCGGUUGGAAGCACGAUAUAGCUGUGCUGAAAAUUGACAAACCUUUUGAGUUCAAUGAAGACCUGUUCAAUAAAGCCAGCGAUACUUCCCGACGCUCACAAAAAGUUGGAAGAUCACCAAAGAGCCGUCGUUUCUGGUUUUGGGAGACUGUCUGUAAGUUUAGCAUUUAUUUAGUUUCUUAACUCCAUUCCACGACUUUUAGAGUACGAGCGACCUAUCGACGAUAUUAUACAGAGCUAGCGUUUUCAUCGAGAACCAAGACGAGUGUCAUAAAAGGCCUACGAGAUUGACGAGAUCCGAGCGACGAACGUCUGCACUCGGCAUCCGAGCGAAGUUACCGGUUUCUGUUCCGGAGAUUCGGAUGGUCCACUGACGGUGAACAGUAAAGUCGUUGGCGUAGUGUCUUUUGCUCUGGACAACGGAUGCGCUGGAGCCUCAAAGAUGCCGCAGCUUUACACGAGAGUGUCCAAGUACAUCGACUGAAUCAAUAGUCACACGAGAACCUUCUAGAUCGAUUAUUCGCUAAUUGUAUUCAUUUAAUAAUAGCUACCAUCAAUGGUAGUCUCGUCACUUACACCUUUGAAGGAUCCAAUAUUAUAAGAAUGACGAGAUGCCCAUAGCUCAUUAUAAUUGGUUGAUUCGUUCGCAUCAACAUCUUCUUCGCAUUGUCACUUAGCACUGACCAGUCUACAUUGUAAAUGUCAUUGCUGAAUUCAAAGCUCUAUACAAAAUGCUUGAUUUUUUAAAACUACUUUCAAAGAUCUCACCCAUCAUGCAAACCAGAUAGAUGAAAGCCAUGGUUUUUUAUAACAUCAAAUGUGUCCUUUACUACUUUUGUAAAUUUGAAACAGUUUAAACGACGAGCUACAUUAAGGCGGCCCGAAGUCAAUUCAAAUGCCGAUUUUACCCCACAAAAUAGCAGAUAACAAGAUAAACUAUAAACAUAACAAAAUUACAAUAAACCGCGACAUAGUUGCCCUCCAUAAUGUAAUCAUCUAUCAUUUUACAAUGUUACAAGUUUGCAUAGAAUGAAACUUUGUAAAAUGAUAUAGACAAUAAGAUACCAGAGGGUAGCUAUGUUCUGAUUUUUCAUAAUAUUCUUUUUACUAUUUGUUAUAAGCCUUGUUUUUUAUCUGCUGUAUAUUGCACUUUUUUAUCAUUUGUCAAUUUUUUUUUAUUCAAUCCAACCGUCACGUGAUUAUUUUAUAAAAUUAUUCAUGCGGGUAAAAAUAAUUUUAAUAUUGAAGCAAUACAUGUAAGGUUGAAGAAAGCAACAUGCCAAGGGGUUGACAGCUUUUUUUUUGAAAUGUGAUAUACGAUGCGCGUGUCAUACUCACUUGAUGAUUUAAUCGUGAUGCAAAACAGUCUGCCUCAGCAUCUUCAGCUCGAGCAGUAUUAAAGCUUUGCUGCUCGCAAUUCCCUGUUGCUUAUCCGAAGUACACACACCGUUAAAUGAAACUUUGAAUAUCCUGCCAAUAUAGGCCAUGAGACUAUUCCUAUAAGAAAUAUAUACCUAUACAUGGCAAGUGUCAUGGCCGACGGGCGGGAUAUUCAAAGUUCCAUUUAACGGUGUGUGUACAUAAAAAAAUGAAAAGUCUCAAUUUUUAUACAAUAUAUUAAAAUAAAACGAUGCUUGAUCUUCCA